RNAcentral lists this ribosomal RNA (233 nucleotides) under Helicodiscus barri. RNAcentral's name for it is "partial large subunit ribosomal RNA". The record is from RNAcentral. Lineage: Eukaryota; Metazoa; Mollusca; Gastropoda; Stylommatophora; Helicodiscidae.
GAAUUUAUCUAAUAGUUAAAUGGCCGCAGUACUUUGACUGUGCUAAGGUAGCAUAAUAAAUUGGCUUUUAAUUGAAGUCGAGAAUGAACGGGAUUUUAAUCAGAAUCUGUCUCAAAUAUAGAUUUAUAGAAAUUACUUAUUAGGUGAAAAUUCCUAUAGUUAUAUAUAAUAGACGAGAAGACCCUUAGAGUUUUUAUUAAUAAGGUAAUUAAUUUAAAUUAUUUUGGGGGGGG